UGAUAUAUACACUGUCCCUGCUCUACAUGUCCAAACCAUUUAAACCUGGGCUCUCUUGCUUGGUAUCCAGUAUGUGCUGAUCUUAUUUCUGAGGUUGUCCAUCAUUGCCAAGGUGAAUCUUCACACCUUUAAGUUUCCAACCCUUUCUCCUGUCUUUUAGUCAUUGAUACCACCUCCAAACCAUACAUGGUUGGUGUUACUACCAUGCUCCCUUCCACUCUCUCCAUUGCUCUGAACAAUAGAUCCCAUGCACUUAAACCUUUGCCACCCCCACUGGCCUUCUUUUUAUUCCUACACAUACUCUGGCCUGCUGCAACUGACCUUCAUUCCUCAUUUCUUGAGCGCAAACAUCAGUAUGACUCAAGCCCAUAAACAUAAUUAUUGUCGUGUCUCUCAUGUCUUUGUAGUCUGUGAUCAGUGUUAAGAUAUGUAACUAGAAUCAGGAAGUAAGGGCAUGUUUCAGCACAGUGUCGAAAGAGAACGCUGCUUGUUCUAUUCUCUCCUGCAGUUCGGCAAAACAAUUACCUACAUUUUGUGUUAUACAAGGCAUCGUUGGUUUCUUAGACUAAAAAAGCUCCUGUACCGGCAGAGAGAAAGAGGAAACCUCGUUGCACCUGCCUCAGUGAACUCAAAGAUGCUGUUGAGAUGAGCCAAAAACACUGUGGCUGUCUUAUAUCCUGCACCUGUGACCGUUGGGCAGCAGCCAUCCGCCUGAUGUUUGACAAGACAAGACGCCCACUGUGACUCAGUAAAAGAAACCAUUGAUGGUUAGUAGGUCGACAACAUUUGAGUGUUUAUGGAAUACAAAUGAUGAAGAGGAUCUUGUUGUGCUGAUAAACUGUGUUGGAAAAGGUUAGUUGACAGCCAGCCGUAUUCACUCCUUCAUGUACUCUUUGGCUUUGUGUCGACCUGCCACAUAUAUUUCACAGUUGGAGUAGGAGGUGUUUCUGAAGUACAAUUUAAACUAAUGUCUGCUUCUGUCUGAUUCAUGGACUCCGAGGGAACUAUUCAUACCAGGCAACAAAAAUAAGACAGGAGUGUUUCCAGGAUUGCCCAAUUUAGCGCUAAGGUCUUUCAGGAUACCGCAGUGAUCAUCAAAGUACACUUCUCCAAAAUUACGGUUUAAGGUUUGAAGUCAAUGGAUGAAUGUGAGACUGAAAAAGAUUGUGAAGACGACAACUAUACAGCUGGCUAUGGCUAAAAAGAGGUAAUUGUGAUCCUUCAUUUAGCAGCCAGAAAAAAAGACCAAAACAUACA
This is a long non-coding RNA of Syngnathus acus (greater pipefish), 1257 nucleotides long. RefSeq lists it as uncharacterized. The record is from RefSeq and is a predicted model, not a curated record. The transcript has 2 exons. NCBI's taxonomy places the organism in Eukaryota, Metazoa, Chordata, Actinopteri, Syngnathiformes, Syngnathidae.